Heterocephalus glaber (naked mole-rat) is the source of this 780-nucleotide long non-coding RNA. RefSeq lists it as uncharacterized. The record is from RefSeq and is a predicted model, not a curated record. NCBI's taxonomy places the organism in Eukaryota, Metazoa, Chordata, Mammalia, Rodentia, Bathyergidae.
UUUUUUUUUUUUUUUUUGAGACAGGGUUGUGCUAGCCUUGAACGCACUGGAAUCUUCUUGCCUCAGCCUUCUGAGUGCUGGGAUUACAGGCAUGCACCACCACGCCCCUCUCAGUAACACUUCUUAACAGUAAAUAUGUGAACUCACCAUACCUAUGUUUGAUAAACUUCAGUCUGAGCAGCUCUAUUUGACCCCAAGUUACUCUGGGGAAACCGAGAUCUGAGACUCGAGCCGGGCGUCUGGAGUCUUGAGGGAGGAGAAUCGCAAGGCUGGUCGCAGGGCCCCUGCAGACCGGAAGGACGCCACGGCCCCCAGACUGGGUUCUUGCCAGGAUAGUGCUGAAGAUCAAAUCCAGGGCCCUGUGCACUCUAGGCAAAGUGCUCCACUACUGAGCUACAUCCCCAGCCUGACUUCUUAGUUUUCACAAGCACAGUUAUGUAUGAUGUAGCAUUAGGAAACCUGAGGAAGGUUUGGGCAAAAAAUAUGAAGACUGCAUAAAAGGAUGUGAAGAAGCUGGGCUUGGUGGCACACCCACUGUAAUCCCAGCGCUCAGCAGGCUGAGGCAGGAGGAUCACCAGCUCAAGACCAGCCUGAACCACAUAAGGAGGCCCUGUCUUCUAAAAAAAAAAUUCUCAUUAGGUUCUUGAACCCAUUAUUUUUCUUAAUAUUUAAAUUUUUAUUAGUACAUAUUUGCCAUACAUAAUGAUCAGUGAAUCCCUUAUUAAAACCAUGAGAAUGCUUCAAUGAGGAUCUUAGAAGAAACAAACUUGGCUGGGAAUA